Molecule: ribosomal RNA, 781 nt
Filed under: Escherichia coli
Lineage: Bacteria; Pseudomonadati; Pseudomonadota; Gammaproteobacteria; Enterobacterales; Enterobacteriaceae
Description: partial 23S ribosomal RNA
Rfam family: Bacterial large subunit ribosomal RNA
Source: RNAcentral
AUAAUGGGUCAGCGACUUAUAUUCUGUAGCAAGGUUAACCGAAUAGGGGAGCCGAAGGGAAACCGAGUCUUAACUGGGCGUUAAGUUGCAGGGUAUAGACCCGAAACCCGGUGAUCUAGCCAUGGGCAGGUUGAAGGUUGGGUAACACUAACUGGAGGACCGAACCGACUAAUGUUGAAAAAUUAGCGGAUGACUUGUGGCUGGGGGUGAAAGGCCAAUCAAACCGGGAGAUAGCUGGUUCUCCCCGAAAGCUAUUUAGGUAGCGCCUCGUGAAUUCAUCUCCGGGGGUAGAGCACUGUUUCGGCAAGGGGGUCAUCCCGACUUACCAACCCGAUGCAAACUGCGAAUACCGGAGAAUGUUAUCACGGGAGACACACGGCGGGUGCUAACGUCCGUCGUGAAGAGGGAAACAACCCAGACCGCCAGCUAAGGUCCCAAAGUCAUGGUUAAGUGGGAAACGAUGUGGGAAGGCCCAGACAGCCAGGAUGUUGGCUUAGAAGCAGCCAUCAUUUAAAGAAAGCGUAAUAGCUCACUGGUCGAGUCGGCCUGCGCGGAAGAUGUAACGGGGCUAAACCAUGCACCGAAGCUGCGGCAGCGACGCUGAUGCGUUGUUGGGUAGGGGAGCGUUCUGUAAGCCUGCGAAGGUGUGCUGUGAGGCAUGCUGGAGGUAUCAGAAGUGCGAAUGCUGACAUAAGUAACGAUAAAGCGGGUGAAAAGCCCGCUCGCCGGAAGACCAAGGGUUCCUGUCCAACGUUAAUCGGGGCAGGGUGAGUCGACCCCU